Molecule: non-coding RNA, 378 nt
Organism: Durio zibethinus
Lineage: Eukaryota; Viridiplantae; Streptophyta; Magnoliopsida; Malvales; Malvaceae
Source: RefSeq, a predicted model, not a curated record
AUACUACUUUGAUUCUAUUUGAAAAUUUGAAGUUGCACCUUCAAAGCUUUUGUCAAGACUGCCAGUUCUUUUGAAAAGUUGAUCAAAAUGAGUUUUCCACAGGCAAACUGAGAUAUAGCAAUGAAGGCAUAACAUACCUAAAAUAUGGAAAGCUAUCUCUCUAAACUAUGCAAAAGGCAUCAGAUCGGAACAGAUAAAAGUAGAAGAGAUGUAGGCUGAGAGGAAAACAAUACAGACACUCCAGGAUUCUUUACUGCAUGAUCUAUAGUGUAAUAGUAUCAAAUCCAGUGAUGGCACCUGAAACAGGCCUUGUGAUACACCCUGUUGUCAGCAGUUAACUUAUCAACCAGAUAGACAGUCUUGUCACAGGCCAUACAU